Molecule: long non-coding RNA, 2229 nt
Filed under: Cricetulus griseus (Chinese hamster)
Lineage: Eukaryota; Metazoa; Chordata; Mammalia; Rodentia; Cricetidae
Description: lncRNA (ENSCGRG00015035439.1)
Source: RNAcentral
AAAGGACAACACAGCAGAGUCAGCUUCCUGACCCAAUGGGACCUUGGGAGGGGGGUAUAAAGGAAGGUGUAAUUUCCUUAAUAAACAACUAUGCAGCACGCUCUGUUACUCACUGACUCCCUGUGUCUGAGUACUGAGGCAUUGGUGCUGCAUCUUCUCACCCACUCCCCCAAGGGGUGUCUGAGCAGGAUCACCGGCAACACUGACACAACAUAAUAAGUCAAGGACCCUCCAAAGAAUCUCCCAGUGAACAUAAGCCAAGUGCUAAGUGGGAAGCUCACAUUGAAAAAUAUGUGCUGUCCUUGUUGGAUUUGGUGGCAUAAACCUGCAGUAUCUGCUACUUGAACUGCUGCUCCUGAUGAGGCAUUAGGAUUGCAACUUCAAAAAGAAUUCAAGGCCAUUUGAAAAGACAUAUCCAGUCCAUGAUCCAAGACUUAAGAGAUCCCCUCUGACACGAUCUCAGUUCAACAUUAGCUGAUCACACAUUUUCUUCCCACUGGAUGUAAGAUGAAUAAGGAGUUCUGAAUGCAUCAAUGUGCAAAAGACAGUAUAUUUUCAUGGAAAAUAAUCACAAACAACAAACUUAGAGUAAAAUUAUGCAUGAAUGUUGCUUUUAUUCAAAUAUAAUUUUUAAGCUCAAUUGUCAGUAUUUUCUCAAACAUGACACAACACUGCAAUGGGACAAUCUCUAAGUUAAGACUUGUAAACUUCAACUUUAUAGAAGUACUUUUAGAAAAUUCUGUGACGUGGGAUGUCUUUCUGUAUGUUUUGAAUAUGUGUUGCUCUGAUUGGUUGAUGAAAAAUAAAGCUGCGUUGGCCUAGGACAAGGCAGGAUAGAGCCAGACAGGAAAUCCAAGCAGAGAUACAGGAGUUGAAAGGUAGCAUCUGGGAGACAUCAGCAGUCAUCAAGGAACAACAUGCAAGAGCACCACCUGUAAAACCACAGGCCAUGCGACAAUACACAGAUUAAUAGAAAUGGGUUAAUUUAAAUAUAGGAGCUAGCUAGUAUUAAGCCUGAGCCAUUGGCCAAAUAUUUAUAAUUAAUAUAUAAUUCUCUGAGUGAUUAUUUAGGAAUGGGUAUGGGGCUGAGCAGGACAAAAAAAAGCCUUUGGUUACAGUUCUGAUGUAUUGCUUACCAAAGUUUAUGUUAUUGUACCUAGAAUAAUUCUAUCUGUUGCCAAUGGUUUAGAACAUAACCUCUGGCUUCUUUUGGCACAUGGCAGUUAAAAGAGCAAUCUUUCUGUAUUUAUAUGACAGAGGAGACACAAUACAUUAUGCACAAAUAACAGUGUGCAAAAUAUAAUCCAUCCACACCCAUAUUCAAAGGGCGUUUCCUAAAAUUCCUGUCAGUGCUGAUUUUUUAAUCACGCUGUUUAUGCUUUAAAUGCAUUUAUAUCCCCUCUUGUUGCAAUUAUUCCCCUUAUCACAUCCUUCCCUCUAGUAAACAACUACCUUUGGGAUGAGAUAUUUUUGUUAAAAUGCUACUUAUACUGACCUUCCUGAAAGUUAUAAAGGUUUAUGUGGGAUAGGUUGUAUUAGAUCCACUUUUCUCCUUGCUUUUGAUCAAUAAAAUUAAGAAAGCUCUCCCCAAGAAUUUUGAUAAUCCUUUGUAUCUAUUGGAUCUAGUAUUAUUGCCAAUACAAUGUUUUUUUAUUUGGUUAAACCAGGAAUAGUUGCUGGAAUACAAAGAUAGUUCUCAAAGUGCCCUGUAUAAUUCAUAAUAUGACUAAUAAUAUAGCAAACAUAUUAGCAGACAUUAAUCAAAAGAUGGGUAAAUUGAAGAUCACAAUUUUACAAAAUAGAACUACUAUAGUUGUUACUCAAAUAUAAUCUUAGUUUUCAACAAUUUCCUGGGAUAUCUUGCUUUAAUAUGUAAGAUUUUUCCCAUACUACUGGUAGUCAAAUUAAUGAUUUGCAUAGAGAGACACACAAAUUCUCUCAAGGAACUUUUGAAUGGGCAUUAUGGCUAAAUUGUCUUUCUCCUUUCCUUGGUCCUCUGUUAUCUAUUAUAAUUCUCUUACGCUUGACUAUGUUAAUUAGAUUAGCCAUAAAGUCAAGGAAUUCAUUCAUGGCCACUAUUACAGACACUACCUCUUCCUUAAAAAAUUAGAAAUGGGGAGAUGCUGAAGGAUGUGAAGUCCAUGUGCUUACAGAAAGAAUUAGAGAAACCAGAAUUAUUAAACAGGCUUUUUGCUUCAAUGAAAGAAGUUGACACCUGUUUACCAGGAA